CUUGGUCAUUUAGAGGAGUAAAAGUCGUAACAAGGUCUCCGUUGGUGAACCAGCGGAGGGAUCAUUACAGAGUUCUAAAAGACUCCCAAAACCAUUGUGAACGUACCCGUCAGCGUUGCCUCGGCGGGCGGCCCCUCCCUGGGGCCGCUGCCUCCCUCGGGGGGUGCCCGCCGGCGUACCAAAACUCUUUUGUAUUUUAGUGGCCUCUCUGAGAAAACAAGCAAAUAAGUUAAAACUUUCAACAACGGAUCUCUUGGUUCUGGCAUCGAUGAAGAACGCAGCGAAAUGCGAUAAGUAAUGUGAAUUGCAGAAUUCAGUGAAUCAUCGAAUCUUUGAACGCACAUUGCGCCCGCCAGUACUCUGGCGGGCAUGCCUGUUCGAGCGUCAUUUCAACCCUCAAGCCCUGCUUGGUGUUGGGGUCCUACGGCUGCCGUAGGCCCUGAAAGCUAGUGGCGGGCUCGCUAUAACUCCGAGCGUAGUAGUAAAAUAUCUCGCUAGGGAGGUGUCGCGGGUUCCGGCCGUGAAAGCCCAUCUUUUACACAAGGUUGACCUCGGAUCGGGUAGGAAUACCCGCUGAACUUAAGCAUAUCAAUAAGCGGAGGA
Molecule: ribosomal RNA, 603 nt
Filed under: uncultured fungus
Lineage: Eukaryota; Fungi
Description: eukaryotic LSU rRNA
Rfam family: 5.8S ribosomal RNA (bases 234-387)
Source: RNAcentral